This 635-nucleotide ribosomal RNA is filed under the name uncultured bacterium. RNAcentral's name for it is "bacterial SSU rRNA". It matches the Rfam family "Bacterial small subunit ribosomal RNA", at positions 216 to 842 of the family's 1533-position model. The record is from RNAcentral.
CACUCUUGGAUGGACCUGCGGUGCAUUAGCUAGUUGGUAAGGUAACGGCUUACCAAGGCAAUGAUGCAUAGCCGAGUUGAGAGACUGAUCGGCCACAUUGGGACUGAGACACGGCCCAAACUCCUACGGGAGGCAGCAGUAGGGAAUCUUCCACAAUGGACGCAAGUCUGAUGGAGCAACGCCGCGUGAGUGAAGAAGGGUUUCGGCUCGUAAAGCUCUGUUGGUAGUGAAGAAAGAUAGAGAUAGUAACUGGCCUUUAUUUGACGGUAAUUACCUAGAAAGUCACGGCUAACUACGUGCCAGCAGCCGCGGUAAUACGUAGGUGGCAAGCGUUGUCCGGAUUUAUUGGGCGUAAAGCGAGUGCAGGCGGUUCAAUAAGUCUGAUGUGAAAGCCUUCGGCUCAACCGGAGAAUUGCAUCAGAAACUGUUGAACUUGAGUGCAGAAGAGGAGAGUGGAACUCCAUGUGUAGCGGUGGAAUGCGUAGAUAUAUGGAAGAACACCAGUGGCGAAGGCGGCUCUCUGGUCUGCAACUGACGCUGAGGCUCGAAAGCAUGGGUAGCGAACAGGAUUAGAUACCCUGGUAGUCCAUGCCGUAAACGAUGAGUGCUAAGUGUUGGGAGGUUUCCGCCUCUCA